CCUACGGGGGGCAGCAGUGGGGAAUAUUGGACAAUGGGGGGAACCCUGAUCCAGCCAUGCCGCGUGUGUGAAGAAGGCCCUCGGGUUGUAAAGCACUUUCAGUGAGGAAGAACGCCUGGUGGUUAAUACCCAUCAGGAAAGACAUCACUCACAGAAGAAGCACCGGCUAACUCCGUGCCAGCAGCCGCGGUAAUACGGAGGGUGCGAGCGUUAAUCGGAAUUACUGGGCGUAAAGCGCGCGUAGGUGGCUGGAUAAGCCGGUUGUGAAAGCCCCGGGCUCAACCUGGGAACGGCAUCCGGAACUGUCAAGCUAGAGUGCAGGAGAGGAAGGUAGAAUUCCCGGUGUAGCGGUGAAAUGCGUAGAGAUCGGGAGGAAUACCAGUGGCGAAGGCGGCCUUCUGGACUGACACUGACACUGAGGUGCGAAAGCGUGGGUAGCAAACAGGAUUAGAUACCCGUGUAGUC
Molecule: ribosomal RNA, 465 nt
Filed under: Vreelandella stevensii
Lineage: Bacteria; Pseudomonadati; Pseudomonadota; Gammaproteobacteria; Oceanospirillales; Halomonadaceae
Description: partial 16S ribosomal RNA
Rfam family: Bacterial small subunit ribosomal RNA
Source: RNAcentral